RNAcentral lists this long non-coding RNA (1842 nucleotides) under Lynx pardinus (Iberian lynx). The record is from RNAcentral. Lineage: Eukaryota; Metazoa; Chordata; Mammalia; Carnivora; Felidae.
GUUUACAAUGUGCAGCCGUCCCAAGAAUUGCUGCACAUACUCUGGGGAGACAGCCCUGAUGGAAAGGGGGCUCGAGGCAGACAGAGGAUGAAGUUUCCAGCAGAUCAACCUGAUACUCAUGGACAUGACCCCGGUUGCAAGCCCGGCACCCUCCCAGCCCGCGCUCUGUAGCUCUGUGGCAGCUCUGAGCUGAGAGGAUGACUCAGAUUCCUGGGGUUAAGGAUUUGCUUUCAGGUAGAGCUGCUGAAAUUCAGACCCACUGCCCCCACCCCUGUGUUCUUUCCCUGAGGCGUUAUGUCCUGUCUUCUGAGACUUGAUUUUCUCUUUCCUGUCCCCCUCCUUGAAGCCCCUGCUCAGGGCUAAUGGUGCCUGUGGGGGGGUGGUUCCUCCCUCACCUUUAUCCUGGAUGCUCAUUUGUUCUCUGUCCUUCUGACCACCACCCCCCCACACACACACAGCAAUGUCACUUUAUCCACCCUUUAAACUGCCCUACAACAUUCCAUACUCAUUCUUCCCUCCAGUGUGUCCCCAGACCUCCUCAUCCCGCCUCCCCCCCCCCCCCGCCCCCUUAGGGGCCAUGCAUUUGCUCCUGCAUUCAGGUGGGCUCCCAGCAAGCACUUGCUGAGUCCAGCACUGUGCUGGGAACUCUGGUACAGGGUGAGCAGGCCAGCCAUGGUCCCUUGUCCUCUGGCAAAUUAGAUUCUGUUGGGAAAGACUAACCAUAAGCAAGUAAACAAAUAAAUGAACAAGAUAAUUAUAGAUGUGAUAAGUGCUUUGAAGAACAUAAAGCGGGUAAUAUAAGAGGAAUUAAGUGGAGGAGGUGUGCACGACUUUGACGGUGUUAGAAAACGCUUCUCUGAGGGGUGAUGUGUGAGCCAAGCUCUGGGUGGUGAGAGGGAGCCCCCAGGCUGGGGGGCAGGGGGGCAGUUCUUAAUGCUCUGAGUGUGACCAGUGGUGAGGUAGGAGGUGCACAGGCCCUGACAGGUGACAGGCGCUGGGCUGUGUUCUAAGAGCCAGGAUUACAGGGUCGGUCUGUGCAUUCACAGACCCAGCAGCCUUCACCUCCCUUCCUGCUGUAAGUCUGGUCCUCCUCUGCCCCCUCACAUUCGGGAUGAGAAUCUGUUUCCAUGUCCACCCCCCGCAGCGAGAACAAGCCUUCCAAACAGACGAUUUCCUAUGCUGUGCCGGGCACCAGAUGCAGCUAACUGGCUUCUGUUCUCACACUUUGAGGUCACGGAAUCCCAGAUGGGUAGAGCGUUAGAACUGACAGGGACGUUAUCACCACGUAGCCUAAUGCUUACAUUGCAGAUGAGAAAACUGGGGUCCACAGGAGCGACUGUGCUCAUCCAGGGUAGCUGGGGUGCGAGCAGGCCAGCCCUUCUAGUUCCCAUCCCUCAAGAGUGCAGGAAGGUUGCUGCCUGUCUCUUCUACACUCAUUUCAAAUAAAGAGGUGCUCACUGACCACUCUUGUAUGUUCAGGGUGAGGCCCUGCUUGACCAGGAGUAGAAGGAGCGAAUGAUGAGGUCCAGGCACACUAACACUGAUGUAUGACAAUCAGCAUGAUGGCCACAGCCUGUGGACAGCAAGAGAGACACCAGACAGUCAUGUGCAUGUCCACACAGUGCCGUGAAGGGAGCUGCAGGUGCUGAGGACCAAGUCAGGGAGCAGAAACUACUCUCUGUCUGGUCUGGUCGGCGGCAAGGGAUUCAAUACAAGGAACCACGUGAUAAGAGAAUCAUGGAAAGGCCUGGAAGGUCACAAGGCUCUAGCUGGACUCUUGGUUUCAAGGUCAGUCAGUCAGAAGCACUCCCAGAAGCACUGCCCCCACUCCCACGUGUCUGC